GACAGGUGUGAGACCUUCCUGCUGCUGCUGGCGCUGAAGGUGAGGUACCCAGACCGGAUCACGCUGAUCAGGGGCAAUCACGAGUCCCGGCAGAUCACGCAGGUGUGGCACAGGUGUGGCACAGGCGGUGCCAGGGAUGGUUUAUCGGUGUUAUACCACACUCAGGUGUGUUCCCUGUGCCCAGGUGAGGUACCCAGACCGGAUCACGCUGAUCAGGGGUAACCACGAGUCCCGGCAGAUCACACAGGUGUGGCACAGGUGUGGCACACACAGUGUAGGUGAUGCCAGGGAUGGUUUAUCGGUGUUAUACCACACUCAGGUGUGUUCCCUGUGCCCAGGUGAGGUACCCAGACCGGAUCAUGCUGAUUAGGGGUAACCACGAGUCCCGGCAGAUCACGCAGGUGUGGCACAGGUGGUGCCAGGGGUGGUUUAUCGGUGUUAUACCACACUCAGGUGUGUCACACA
Non-coding RNA from Zonotrichia albicollis (white-throated sparrow), 465 nucleotides. NCBI's taxonomy places the organism in Eukaryota, Metazoa, Chordata, Aves, Passeriformes, Passerellidae. The record is from RefSeq and is a predicted model, not a curated record.